CGCAGGCGGCCAGGUAAGUCGAAUGUGAAAGCCCCCGGCUCAACUGGGGAGGGUCAUUCGAUACUGCUUGGCUUGAAGGUAGGAGAGGGAAGCGGAAUUUCGGGUGUAGUGGUGAAAUGCGUAGAUAUCUGAAGGAACACCAGUGGCGAAGGCGGCUUUCUGGCCUAUUCUUGACGCUGAGGCGCGAAAGCUAGGGGAGCGAACG
This 205-nucleotide ribosomal RNA is filed under the name uncultured bacterium. RNAcentral describes it as "partial 16S ribosomal RNA". It matches the Rfam family "Bacterial small subunit ribosomal RNA", at positions 570 to 774 of the family's 1533-position model. The record is from RNAcentral.